CCCUUAGAUGUUCUGGGCGGCCCGCGCACUACAAUGGCGUGUGCAGCGAGUGCCGAAGUAGAGUUUUCCGAGGUAUUCUUGCAAUGCUCGUUUUGAUGGGGAUAGACCCUUGCAACUGUUGGUUUUGAACGAGGAAUUCCUUGUAAGCAUGGUUUAUCAUCCGACGCUGAAUGCAUCCCUGCCCUUUGUACACACCGCCCGUCGCUCCUACCGAUGAGUCGUCCGGUGAAGUUCGUAGACCUCGUGAUCGCGGAUCACUGGGGGAAGCAAAAUGAACCUCGCGGUUUAGAGGAAGGAGAAGUCGUAACA
RNAcentral lists this ribosomal RNA (309 nucleotides) under uncultured eukaryote. Its description in RNAcentral is "partial 18S ribosomal RNA". It matches the Rfam family "Eukaryotic small subunit ribosomal RNA", at positions 1470 to 1796 of the family's 1831-position model. The record is from RNAcentral.